RNAcentral lists this ribosomal RNA (280 nucleotides) under uncultured bacterium. RNAcentral's name for it is "partial 16S ribosomal RNA". It matches the Rfam family "Bacterial small subunit ribosomal RNA", at positions 332 to 610 of the family's 1533-position model. The record is from RNAcentral.
UGGUGCCUACGGGGCGCAGCAGUGAGGAAUAUUGGUCAAUGGUCGGGAGACUGAACCAGCCAAGCCGCGUGAGGGAUGAAGGUACAGAGCAUCGUAAACCUCUUUUGUCAGGGAACAAAGGCGGGGACGCGUCCCCGGAUGAGUGUACCUGAAGAAAAAGCAUCGGCUAAAUCCGUGCCAGCAGCCGCGGUAAUACGGAGGAUGCGAGCGUUAUCCGGAUUUAUUGGGUUUAAAGGGUGCGCAGGCGGGCUGUUAAGUCAGCGGUCAAAGCCCGGGGGUC